Molecule: ribosomal RNA, 500 nt
Filed under: uncultured bacterium
Lineage: Bacteria
Description: bacterial SSU rRNA
Rfam family: Bacterial small subunit ribosomal RNA
Source: RNAcentral
AGAGUUUGAUCCUGGACUCAGGAUGAACGCUAGCGGCAGGCUUAACACAUGCAAGUCGAGGGUAGAGGAAGCUUGCUUCCUUGAGACCGGCGCACGGGUGCGUAACGCGUAUGCAAUCUACCUUAUACAGGGGGAUAGCCCAGAGAAAUUUGGAUUAAUACCCCAUAGUAUAAUUGAAUGGCAUCAUUUGAUUAUUAAAGUUCCAACGGUAUAAGAUGAGCAUGCGUCCCAUUAGCUAGUUGGUGUGGUAACGGCACACCAAGGCGACGAUGGGUAGGGGUCCUGAGAGGGAGAUCCCCCACACUGGUACUGAGACACGGACCAGACUCCUACGGGAGGCAGCAGUGGGGAAUAUUGGUCAAUGGGCGCAAGCCUGAACCAGCCAUGCCGCGUGCAGGAUGACGGUCCUAUGGAUUGUAAACUGCUUUUGUACAGGAAGAAACACUCCCUCGUGAGGGAGCUUGACGGUACUGUAAGAAUAAGGAUCGGCUAACUCCGUG